RNAcentral lists this ribosomal RNA (460 nucleotides) under uncultured bacterium. Its description in RNAcentral is "partial 16S ribosomal RNA". It matches the Rfam family "Bacterial small subunit ribosomal RNA", at positions 338 to 795 of the family's 1533-position model. The record is from RNAcentral.
UCUACGGGAGGCUGCAGUGAGGAAUAUUGGUCAAUGGGCGCGAGCCUGAACCAGCCAAGUCGCGUGAGGGAAGACGGUCCUAUGGAUUGUAAACCUCUUUUGUCGGGGAGCAAAAGACGCCACGCGUGGCGUUCCGAGAGUACCCGACGAAAAAGCAUCGGCUAACUCCGUGCCAGCAGCCGCGGUAAUACGGGGGAUGCGAGCGUUAUCCGGAUUUAUUUGGCGUAACGAGGGAGCAGGCGGCCUGGUGGGUCUAUUGUUAAAAGGCAAUGGCUUAACCAUUGGAAGGCGAAGAAACCGGCAGGCUAGAGGUCUAAAGAGGAUCGUGGAAUUCCAUGUGUAGCGGUGAAAUGCGUAGAUAUAUGGAGGAACACCAGUGGCGAAGGCGACGAUCUGGGAAGAAACAGACGCUGAGUCCCGAAAGCGUGGGGAGCAAAUAGGAUUAGAUACCCCUGUAGUC